RNAcentral lists this long non-coding RNA (1213 nucleotides) under Callithrix jacchus (white-tufted-ear marmoset). RNAcentral's name for it is "lncRNA (ENSCJAG00000075437.1)". The record is from RNAcentral. Lineage: Eukaryota; Metazoa; Chordata; Mammalia; Primates; Cebidae.
UGAAUGCUUGUUGUUAUCUUUUCCAGAGAAGAUUUGCCUUUGUUUUCACUAGCAGCUCCUAGCAAACCUGGAUUAUCUCAAUCCAGUUUCAGGAAUGAAGAGGAUGUGAAGUUGAGCUGCAGCUCUUUUUGAAGACUGGCCAAUUGGGAUUCAUUUCCCUUAAGGUUCAUCCCCUUGGAGUACCAGCCUAAAGUCAGUGGAGUCAACAGGGCUCUUCUCAGAGGGCCCAUGACUUUCUCUAUAUGAAAUUGUCACAAAAUCCUUAGCACCUCACCGCCUAGGUAAAAGCAGCCUCAAAUGCUGGACUCAUAGUCAUGGAUUUCUAUUUCCAUCAGCUCCUGACCAGGCUCCAGCUUCAAAGGUUCCCAUUUGUUCUGGCUUUCACCACUUCAUAGACACCCUGAUUCUCAACCUCCUGCCUCCUGUGUCACUUCAUAGGCAUCAUGAUUCUCCACCAUCAAGCCCAGAAGAAAAUGGUUUAGCCAUUCUCCACAACUAUGUAAGGUGAGGCACAUUCAUAAUAUAUUAGUGUAUAUUUCAUAGAGGUUGUGUUUCUCUGAUCAAACUCUGACUGAAAUAUAGAGUGAGGUUAUUACAGCGGGGCAAAAAUUGGGAUGACAAAGAAAGCAUCUUUCAUUUCAGAGAAGGAAGACAAAGCCUUUGACUAAGCUACCGUUGCUGCAAUGUUCACUGAAAUGUUUAACAGAAGUUAAAUCUGCCAUAUUUAAGAACUCAAGGUAUAUACUGAGUAUGAAACAAUUUACUAACAAACUAUUUUCUGAAGGUUCAGUAUCUCCAUAUAGCUUUAUCCUAUUUUUGAAGUUAUUAGUUACUCAAUUUUAAAUAAUACACAAUAGUUGAGUGACCACUGUAUAUUUAUGACUAACAUUUCAAAUGUAUUCACUGGUUGACAUUAUCUAGGUGCAAUAUCAUUCUUAGUACUAAUUGUCAACCUUUAAAGCAUUUCUUGGUGUAUCACUUUGGGGCAAAUUUGCAUGUGUGGCCUGAUUUAUCUUCUCAAAACAAUUCUGAGAAAUCAGAAAAGAGCCAACAAGUAAUUGGGGUUUGGAAAGUAAAAAGGAAACAAACAUUUCUAGAGCCCAUUCUAUCACAUUUGUACUAAUAACUUCAGCUAAUUCUCAUAAACCCUUUAUGGUUGGACUUAUUAUUUUUAUUUUAGAAUUAAGAAAAUUGAGACUCAAAGAAUGAAAGU